RNAcentral lists this ribosomal RNA (548 nucleotides) under uncultured bacterium. RNAcentral describes it as "bacterial SSU rRNA". It matches the Rfam family "Bacterial small subunit ribosomal RNA", at positions 355 to 896 of the family's 1533-position model. The record is from RNAcentral.
UAGGGAAUCUUCCGCAAUGGGCGAAAGCCUGACGGAGCAACGCCGCGUGAGUGAAGAAGGAUUUCGGUUCGUAAAGCUCUGUUGUUAGGGAAGAAUGAUUGUGUAGUAACUAUACACAGUAGAGACGGUACCUAACCAGAAAGCCACGGCUAACUACGUGCCAGCAGCCGCGGUAAUACGUAGGUGGCAGGCGUUGUCCGGAAUUAUUGGGCGUAAAGCGCGCGCAGGUGGUUUAGUAAGUCUGAUGUGAAAGCCCACGGCUCAACCGUGGAGGGUCAUUGGAAACUGUUAAACUUGAGUGCAGGAGAGGAAAGUGGAAUUCCUAGUGUAGCGGUGAAAUGCGUAGAGAUUAGGAGGAACACCAGUGGCGAAGGCGGCUUUUUGGCCUGUAACUGACACUGAGGCGCGAAAGCGUGGGGAGCAAACAGGAUUAGAUACCCUGGUAGUCCACGCCGUAAACGAUGAGUGCUAAGUGUUGGUCUCAUAAGAGAUCAGUGCUGCAGCUAACGCAUUAAGCACUCCGCCUGGGGAGUACGACCGCAAGGUUG